This 326-nucleotide ribosomal RNA is filed under the name Heterosigma akashiwo. RNAcentral's name for it is "partial Bacterial small subunit ribosomal RNA". It matches the Rfam family "Bacterial small subunit ribosomal RNA", at positions 1 to 340 of the family's 1533-position model. The record is from RNAcentral. Lineage: Eukaryota; Raphidophyceae; Chattonellales; Chattonellaceae.
UGUAGAGUUUGAUCCUGGCUCAGAUUGAACGCUGGCGGCAUGCCUUACACAUGCAAGUCGAACGGUAACAGGUUAAGCUGACGAGUGGCGAACGGGUGAGUAAUGUAUCGGAACGUGCCCAGUCGUGGGGGAUAACUGCUCGAAAGAGCAGCUAAUACCGCAUACGACCUGAGGGUGAAAGCGGGGGAUCGCAAGACCUCGCGCGAUUGGAGCGGCCGAUAUCAGAUUAGGUAGUUGGUGAGGUAAAGGCUCACCAAGCCGACGAUCUGUAGCUGGUCUGAGAGGACGACCAGCCACACUGGGACUGAGACACGGCCCAGACUCCU